RNAcentral lists this long non-coding RNA (490 nucleotides) under Fukomys damarensis (Damara mole-rat). Its description in RNAcentral is "lncRNA (ENSFDAG00000023051.1)". The record is from RNAcentral. Lineage: Eukaryota; Metazoa; Chordata; Mammalia; Rodentia; Bathyergidae.
AUAAUUCUCUGCUGUGAAAACUACCCCCAACCACUUGUGACCACUUGGGAAGACUGAAAUCAGCUGACAUUUCAGUAAUGUGGAGAUCUUUUCCCAGUAAGCAGGAGAUUGCUCCAAUCUUUCUAUGUUGCUAAAAAAGGCUGCCGAGUGUGGCGCAUAGGAAGGCAAGAUGAACCGAGCUAGUUCCAAAGUGGGCUGGGGGAGGGGAAGUGACGCCAGAGGUGUGGGGGAGAGGAAAUCAAGCCCCCGAAUUAGGGAACAAGGCUGCAACUUUCGUCACAUGGAGCGUCUUUCUGAUUCUCUGCGUUUUCCUCUUCCAUUCACAUCAAGCACAAUAUAUGAGAAAAACAACGGCUUUCGCUCGAGUCACCUCCCUGUAAGGCCUUUUCUGCUGCAUCGUCCUCUAACAGCAUCAUCAAGCAUCAUCUCAGAGUGUUCUAACGAACAGGGAAGGGACGCUGUGGCCAAAGCUCACUGGCCCAGGGCCCGG